UAGUUAUCCGAUUUAAUUUCAUAUUUACGGUGUUGUUAUUAGUCAGCUAGCGUGCUGGUUAAGUUAGCAUUAGCCUAGCCAGCCAACAUCCCAGACCGUGCGGUCACUAAGCUACUCUUCUGCCCAAGAAGAGGAGGAUAUCACACUGAAACAAGAAGUAGAGGGUGAGGCCGUUACUGUGAAAGAAGAGGAAGACUCGUUCAGAGUGAAAGAGGAGGAGGAUGUCACAGUAAAAAGAGAGGAGGAUGCAGGUUACGGAGUGAAAGAGGAGGAGGGAGAGAUGACUGUUACGUCGAAAAAGGAGGAGGAGGAAGAAGAGGAGGAAACUAGAUACCUGGUCCCGGUUUCCCAAACGCUUCUUAAGGCAUCCAAUGGUUCUAACGAUGAAUUUAGCCGUAAGAUGGUUUUGAGAAACCGUUCUCUGAUUAACACUAAAGAGAGCGAACUCUUCCUGAACCACCUUGUCCUGCUGGCCUUCAUAAAUUCUGACGUUGCUGGUAAUAGGCUACACAAGCAUCUUACCAUCUUACCAUUUAUACUGAUCUGCAUGUCAGUUAUGAUUUUAAUAUUCUCAUUUUCAUGGAACAGUUCAAUUCCAUUGAUAAAGUAUCUCAAAAUCAUUGUCUGUGAUUAAUCUACAUUCAAUCUAAAUCUAAAUGAAAUGUAUACUAUUAAUUUAUACUAACUUUUAUUGCUAACUAUGUAAAAAAAUAUCCUACAAAUAAAAACAUUGCAAAUAAAUAUCCUGUAAAUCACAUGGCCUGUCUACAACAAACUUGAAACAUUGUUUAAAAUAAUUCUGGGCUCUCGGUUUCCCGUGCCAGUGAGUUUGGGACCGACACAGUUGUUGGCUAUUUGUAAAAGGGAUAAGAAGUAAUCAGGUAUUUUAUGACAUUUCCAAUGGAUCAGCGCAUUACAUUUGUCCCUUUCGUGUUGAGUGGUUAUCGAAAGGGCGAGAGCUGGAAAUGUUUUUCAAAUUCUUUAAGGAACUAUUCUCAUUUGCAAUUGAUUUUGAUUAGACAUUGUAUA
RNAcentral lists this long non-coding RNA (1029 nucleotides) under Oncorhynchus kisutch (coho salmon). Its description in RNAcentral is "lncRNA (ENSOKIG00005007661.1)". The record is from RNAcentral. Lineage: Eukaryota; Metazoa; Chordata; Actinopteri; Salmoniformes; Salmonidae.